CGCCGUUCUGCCUCCACCCUGUCUGCCUCGCUCAAGUGCACGAUGGCCAGGUGGAUGGAUGACCCUCCCAACCUCACCUCCCAGGUUUCCCUGAGGGAACGCAGCCCCUACUGGAUCCUACUGGACCUGGGUUCUGAGAUGACCCUUCCACAUGAAGAAAGAGAGUCCAGGGCUGGUGGGGGCAUCGCAGCUUCCUGGGGCCCUGCAGGAGACGGAAGAAGCCAGGGUGCUCAUCACACAGGCCUCCAGCUUUCUCCAGGGGCUGGACCUGGGGACCAGCCUGGGGUAUGGGUUCCUUCCUCUCCCCAUCCCCAGCCUGCCAGCCCCUCCCGGAUGGAGGUGGGAGUAAGAUGCCCCCCCGCUGGAGAGCCUUUUUCUGUAGCUGUGCAGGGGUGGGAGUAGGGGAGACAGGGCUUUGUCUAAUAAGAGGAAUCCAUCAAGUUUGCUAAACCACUUUCCCUCUGGAGCCAUGCGGCUCCUCUCCAGGGAGCUUGGCCUGGCCAGGCCUGCAAGCGGUGCCUCCUCCCAGCCCCACCCUGCCUUUUGUCUUUGUCUCUGACAUCUGCGUUCCUUCUGAGUGUGCUUUGCUUCUUUCUGCUGCUCGAUGGCUAAUAGGAUUGAGCGGGAAGGCGCCAGGAGAGCCGGCAGCCCGGCCUGGGAGGGGCUCUCACUCUUCCUCUGCCAGAAGCCUUAUCGAGCGCAGGGUGUUUGACUUCAGAAACACAUCCCCACGGCUUUCCUUUCCGCCUUCCUUCUGGGACUGAUUUGUUUACUUCUUUCAGAGGUUCGCCGUCCCUCUUUCUGCAGGGGUUUGCUGGAUCACAGGUCCCCAGUGCCCCGGACAUAGUGUGUGAGGAAUGCGGGUAUGAGAGAUACUAACAUAGGCAAAGUCGGCUCAUCUCAUCCAACCUCACCACCCUGUGCAUUGCAACCCCACAGUGCAAUGUAAAGAUGGGGAAACAGGCCCAGAGACUCAAGAGAAAUGAAACGAGUGGAGAUUGAGACUGAACUGGACCGGGAUCCGGGCCCCACAGCUGGGCUUGUCCCGAGGCUGUGUGCUGCCCCCGGAGCUCCUUGGAUGGAGAAGCGCUCCCUGCCCCUCCCUGCUCCAUGCCUGGCUUAGACACACGGCGGCCCUGCUCAUGCCUGAAAUUCCACCCUUAGCCACCCUCCCCUGUUUGGCAUUGCCCUCGCACCCCCUCUCGAGGGACACAGAAACCCCGCGUGUGGGUGUCCUCACUGCAGGUCUCCCUACCUGGCAGGCGGGGAAUGUUUUGGGGCAGGUGGUGGGCAAUGGAGGAGAAACAGUAAGCAGGGAUUUCAGGAAGAAGAAAACGCCAGCAAGAUCUGAUCCUGGUCCUCAAAGAGCAUGGAGACCCUCUUUAUACAAAUGGGAAUACUGAGGUAUGCAGUUCGAGAGGAUUGACCGAGGCCAUUUGGCUGGUUGAAGAGCGAUGCUGCGUGUCCAGAGCAGCGGGUGUGGGAGGCAGAGCCUGGAGCUCCCAGAGCCGGCGGCCCACGGCCUCGCCUCCAGCCAGGAGGGUGCGGAAUUCUCCCCCACCCAGCAGAGGCUCUGGCCAUCUGUCUCCAAGGAUGCGGGGGAGCGGACCGGCUGUGCCGCUCUAGGGCUGCUCCGCCUGACAGACAGCAGUGUCGACCACCCAUGUUUGCUGCACAGACUCUAGCUUCCACACCCCUCCCCACCCCAGCAGCCUGGGGAAGGAAGGCUGGAGGUCCCUGCAUGACGGGUGAGGAGAGAGGACAGGAGCCCGGUGCUCUGAACACCGCCCCAGCCCAGCUGCACGUCAGGACCCCGCACUGGCCUCUUACAUUGAGAAGCCAAGACCCACCCAAAACCCAGCUAUCAAAGUCUCUGGGGACAGCACCAGCAGGGCAGAGGGCGUUGGUUCCCUUAGAAUGUGCUAGAAGGCUCAUCCCUGCAGGAGGUGCCCCUGCAGGCAUCCUUGCCCCCACACUGCCUGGUGCUGCCCACCUGCUCACUUGCAGGUGACCCUAGUUUCUCAGUGGCUCGGCAGCCUCGCGGGCUGUUGUAACACUGACACCACGUCUGUGAGAUCAUUGGCUUGGAAGAUUCAGCUCAGAAUUGGAUAGAAGGGCCCUGCCCUGCCAGGCACAGCUGCCGGCCCUUGUCACCUGCAGCUGCAUGAGAAACUAAGGCUCAAACCAAAUCCUUCUGGACAGAAAAGCAGGUCCCCCUCCACUACCCCUUCGUCUGGGCUCUCGGUCAGCGGGGUCAGGGUGGCCGGGACAGUCACUCUCAUUUCCAGAGGAGGCGAGAGGCAGAUGAAGGCCAUGGACAGCAAGCCAUGGGGCCACAGCACAGCCUCAGGUCGUUGCUGACACACCUGCGCCUCCCACAGCCCUCCCCAGGAAAGCCGCGGCAGAGCUCACCCCACUCCCAGGGUGCUCACCUGGGACCUCCUCACCUCUGCACCUGCCCUGGGUAUCCUCAGCCGUGACCCUGGCCUGGCAGUGCCGGCGGACAGGUUGCAACCAGCCCAGCUCCCCAGGGGUGAGAGGGGCCCAUCACCGGCCACCCACAGGCAUCCCUGGGUCUGCUUUUUGGAGCAGUGUCCGGGGUUCCCUUCAUAUCCUUUAUAUCUAUGUGAACCUGACCGGCACACUCACUCCAGGCCCAGGUGUUCUGUAAACACUGAACACCAUGCUGUUAACCAAGGUUACGUUAAAAAGUGACUAUGUGGCCAGGAAAUAGAUUUUGUAUAGUUAUGUGCUGUUAGGAUAGAUACGGGUUUUCGUCUGCGGCUCCUGGCUUAUAACUCCCAUAGCACUUGUUCCCAUUUGCGUUAGAAUGUUGGGGGUGUUGAGCCUCAUGGGCAGCCUCUGCCUUCUCCUGCCCUCCUUUCACCUGCCCCAAGGCGGCACCCUAACUUUCUCCUGCCUUUCGGAUUGUGGGUCUUAAGACCCUCCCAUGAGAGGGUCCCAUCCUAUGCCAUGGGGGAAGGAAUGCUGACAUCAUGAAGCUUCCAUAAAAUCCCAAGAGGACUCGGUUCAGUGCGGUUCCUGGAGUGUGGCGCGCCCAGCAAGGAUGUGGGAGCUCUGCGUCCCUUCCUCCCACUUCGGUCUACGCAUCUCUUCAUCUGCAAUAUUCUUUUUCAUUAAUCUAUAAAUGUGUUUGCCUGA
This 3162-nucleotide long non-coding RNA is filed under the name Homo sapiens (human). Its description in RNAcentral is "HSALNT0355339". Lineage: Eukaryota; Metazoa; Chordata; Mammalia; Primates; Hominidae. The record is from RNAcentral.